UACGAAGGGGCUAGCGUUGUUCGGAUUUACUGGGCGUAAAGCGCACGUAGGCGGUUUGUUAAGUCAGGGGUGAAAUCCCGGAGCUCAACUCUGGAACUGCCUUUGAUACUGGCAAGCUAGAGUCCGGAAGAGGUAAGUGGAACUCCUAGUGUAGAGGUGGAAUUCGUAGAUAUUAGGAAGAACACCAGUGGCGAAGGCGGCUUACUGGUCCGGAACUGACACUGGAGAGACGAAAGCCAGGGGAGCAAACGGGAUU
RNAcentral lists this ribosomal RNA (256 nucleotides) under uncultured bacterium. RNAcentral's name for it is "partial 16S ribosomal RNA". It matches the Rfam family "Bacterial small subunit ribosomal RNA", at positions 524 to 779 of the family's 1533-position model. The record is from RNAcentral.